This 264-nucleotide ribosomal RNA is filed under the name uncultured bacterium. RNAcentral's name for it is "partial 16S ribosomal RNA". It matches the Rfam family "Bacterial small subunit ribosomal RNA", at positions 793 to 1055 of the family's 1533-position model. The record is from RNAcentral.
GUCCUUGCCGUAAACGAUGCACACUUGGUGUAACCGGACUCAACCCUGGUUGUGCCGUAGCUAACGCGUUAAGUGUGCCGCCUGAGGAGUACGCCCGCAAGGGUGAAACUCAAAAGAAUUGACGGGGACCCCGCACAAGCAGUGGAGCAUGUGGUUUAAUUCGAUGCAACGCGAAGAACCUUACCCAGUCUUGACAUGCAGUGGACCCCUCCAGAGAUGGAGGUUCCCUUCGGGGCCGCUGCACAGGUGCUGCAUGGCUGUCGU